GGGUCAUCAGAGCAGUGCGGUGCCAUAGUCCACUGUGGCCCUGCAUCAGAGAGCUCCGGAACAGAACGCUUGGCAGACUUUGCAUACUCUAGAGUCUUUUCUCUUGGAUAUCUCCAGAGACUUCCCUUCUGAGAAAGACUUUAAGAAACACUUUCUAGAUCAUACUACACACAGCAGACACCACAAUGCCCGUUUAUUGAGGCUGAUUAAGUUGCGUCUAUAGCCAGGCCUUUGUUGUGUCUAAUGGAGAACACACACUUUCUUGUUCUUUUGUUAGUCCAGAAUGGAUUCCAAGUCUAAACACUGGCUUCUCUUGUAAGGGAAGGCAAGAGACCUUCCCCGUCUGUGUCUGCGCACGGGAUAUUUCUCUGGUAUUGAUGGAUGGAUGGAAAAUAUGAUACAUCUAGAGCUGGUUCCUGGCAUCAAAUAACCUAAAACCAAACAAGGAGCAGCCAUGGAAAAUGAGAGCAGAGGAGAAAAUAAAAGCCUUGAAGUCCACGCUCCUGCUGAUUGUUACCACACAAGUGAGGAGCCUGCUGCUCAGGCAACAUGCACUGCCUUCUGUAAUUAGAUGGAAAACUAUUUGUUAUGCGUGCUUGGCCUGCCCAGAGGAAAACUCAGCGAGACCGGAAAACCUCAAAACAAAACGUGUGAUUCACUAGGUGCAAACUGUUAAAUAACGAGCCAGGCAUCACACUAAAGAUCUCCUUCCUUUCCCUUCUGCAUCUAACUGCUGCACCACAUGUUGAAAGAACUGUUGUCUUGCUAUUCUUCAGUCUUUUGGAAAUGCAGUUUGAUGUCCACCUCAGCCAGUACCGGAGCAGAGUCUAGAAAAAGCAACAACAUAAUGAGUUGUUAAAAGGAAGUCUUGGGCCACAUGUCUCAAUCGGCUAUUUGGGGCCAUGUGGAAGAAGAAGAAGAAGGAAUUUUCUCAGAGCAAAUAAAACAAAUCAAAGCCUGUAACAAUGAUCAAGUCUAAAACUCCAAAACUCCUGUGAACUCAAGGGCUUCACGCUCAGGACAGAGGCCCGCACAGAUAGCAAGUUCCUAACAUGAUCGCAUCCACGGGAGGAAGGAGCUUGGGAAAACAUCAUAAGUUGUCUCCUAUACCCUUUGAGAAGACUUGCUCCAUACAGGUUCAACACCAGCAGAAAGCACAGGAAAGCCUGGAGCCCACAAGUUCAAAGGACCACCCCCAACCCUACAUAUAUACGCUCAAGGAUCCAGAAACCAACUGAACUGAGAAUGCGUGCUCCUCCUCAGCUGUGCUUUCUCCUGCUCAGCCUCACUCCCGCUGCCCUCCCUCUCCCCGCUCUCACUCUGGCCCACCACUUUUCACUCCUGCUGCCCCUCACUCUCACUUGCCAUUUUAAACCUUGUGCCUUUUUUUAUUUCACUACACUUUUAGUAGUAUUUUCACCUUAUUCUAUUUUUUAAGUCUUCCAUGUUUUUUCUUUCCUUGUACUUUCAUCUAAUUUUGGAGAUGAAGUUUUCAGUUACUGGGUAAUCUUUAUUUAUCUUUGUCCGUUUUCUUGUCCCUUUUGUUUCCUCUUUUUUUCUUUCUUUUCUUUUCUUUUUUGGUCUAUUAUACUCUGAGAAAUGUUGGUACUUUAAAAGAGAUUUAUUUAAUUUACGAAUAUGUGUAAUUCUCUCUCUCUCUCUCUCUCUCUCUCUCUCUCUCUCUCUCUCUCUCUCUCUCUCUCGUGUACUCACGUGCAUGUGCAUGUGUGUGCAGGUGCCUGUGGAGUCCUGAAGUCUCCAGGGUUGAGGUUAUAAAGCAGUUAGGAGGCCACCACAGGUGUGCCAAGCCUCUACCGUACUCAUUCUUAACAGCUGAGCCAUCUCUCCAGCCCCAAGAUGCUUUUACAUUUUAUUGUACUGCUUUUAAUCUAUUUUUAAAAACAGCUUAUAUUUUCACAUUUUGUUGCUCACUUUACAUUUACCUAAUUUUGUUUCUAAACUCUCUCAUUAUUGAAAAAUCAUUUCCCUUCCCUGCGUUCUCUUACUGGCUUCCCUUCCUCCCUGACACUCUUCUCCAUCAUUCUCUUAUGUGCUUCACUCAUUUACUCUUUCCUUCUCCUCCACUUUUCCCUUCCCCCUUUAUUCCUUUGCCUUACUCAGUUGCCAUUUUUGCAUUUACUCUGAAUAGAUUUUGGCUUCACAGCACAUUCUAUGAUGGCAGCUGUUGGUGUAUUUGUUUUAUUAUUUUAUUGGGUUUUAUACUCUACCUCCCUUCCAACCUUUAGUCUACCCUAAUCCCUUCCAAUCCCCCAAGACUAGGUAGGAGAGAAAGAAGGUUAAAGGGGAAAGGGAAAGUAGAUCUCUUUAGACUACCUCCUGCUGAUUAGGGUUGUGGGGUUCCUUGGGCCUGGUCCAGUUUUCAUAGUCAACUUUCUUUUGUCAAACUGCAACAACAGCAACCAGGAGCAGCAGCUGCUGCCUCCUCCUCCUUCCCCUCCUCUUCCUCUUCCUCCUCCUCUUCUUCCUUUUACUCCUCCUCCUUCUUCAGAGCACUUCCUGCCCCUCUCAGGACUCUGGCAUUUAUUCUCCUUCCAGAGUCCCCUGCAUUAAACUAUCUGCAGCUGGCAAAAAUCAUGCCCUUCCCAGAGCACGAGACAACCACAGUUAGUGGCUGUGGACAAACUGAAGCAGCCCCAUAUCCCAUACCUGGGAUUAAAACAGAAACAUAGUUACAUAA
This is a long non-coding RNA of Mus musculus (house mouse), 2698 nucleotides long. RefSeq annotates it as predicted gene, 30365. NCBI's taxonomy places the organism in Eukaryota, Metazoa, Chordata, Mammalia, Rodentia, Muridae. The record is from RefSeq and is a predicted model, not a curated record. The transcript has 3 exons.